RNAcentral lists this long non-coding RNA (1183 nucleotides) under Anser brachyrhynchus (Pink-footed goose). RNAcentral describes it as "lncRNA (ENSABRG00000017422.1)". The record is from RNAcentral. Lineage: Eukaryota; Metazoa; Chordata; Aves; Anseriformes; Anatidae.
CCCAAACUUCAGUGGAGCGCAUGCAAGAAAAUGUCACAGGAGGGUAGCACAGGAUUUCAGAGCAGAAAGAAAGUUUGGGGAAUAACAACUACAUAGCCAAGCAACCAAGAAAACCUUUUAGCAAGGAAAAUUCUGCAUUUGUCUUCACUUCUGGAGCAUCAGAGUAAGUACUGGACAGAAUUGGUGUUUCCCAUCCAAACCUGCUGCUUUGGGUCAACAUUUGAUAUAUGUCUUCAAAAGGGCAAGAAACAACUUCAUGUUUUAUAAAACUCUACAACUCUUAGAAGCUAUCCACACACUCAGAGAGCGAAGAAGAGUUUUUGAGGACAAAAGAGACAGGAACUCACACAUAUGUGUUCCCAAAUCAAAGGGAAAUCUGAUGUAUAGAAGACCAUCCAAGAGAGCAGCAGAUUUCUGAAUUUGAUGGAGCAGUUCAGUAGUGAUGAGAAAAACGGGAACCUGGGGAGAUACUGAAGGAUCAUGGAUUAUCAGAAGACACCUGAUCUGCAGUGCUGGAGAGAUGAGAGAUUCAUUAACCAUGUUAUAAGCUGGAGGAGAGAAAAUGUUGUCAAGUAGUGUUUGCAUGAUUUUCAGUGGCAUUAAUUCAUCCCUUGAAUAUGCUUUCUUUUUUAAGAAAUGAUGAAUUCCACUAAAGGUGAAAUGAAAGAAAUCAGUCCAAUUCAGAGAAGGCCCACUCUAGCUCUGUAUACCAAACAGAAAAUUCCAAAAUAACCUCAGCUGUAUGGUAGUAUGGAUGUUGCAGGCCAAAAGAUUUGAUUAUUGGGUUUCCAUAUAUUAGAAGAAAACACAUUUUCAAAACGUGUUAGCAUUGCACACUAUGCAUCCAGUAUAUGAGCCCAUGAAUCUUCCAUCUUGAUUGCACAAUAAUAGACGGGAUAGUAUCCAUUCCUGGUAAUACACUCACAGUCACAGGACAAGGAUUUGCUCAGCUCAGGGAACCCAUCUGGUCAAACUUAAUUGUUACUACAGCAGUAUGUUUAAUUUUGACAGCCCUGGGUGAUAUGAAAGAAUUAAUUUCAUUGUAAACCUCAAUGACCACUUCAUUAGUGGUAGAUAUUCCCACCUCUACUUGAUAAGCGACUGACUUCUAGCUGCAAAUAGCAACAGACAGCAACACUCUUUUGGAUAAUAAAUAGCAACAAACAGCACUUGAAAUUUCUCA